AGCUUAGGCAAGAAGAAGAUAAAGGAAAGAAAGUAAAAAAAAGGAAGAGAGAGAAAAUAGAAGAAAAUGAGGAGGGUACAUGUGAUAUACUGGAUCUUAGCAAAUAGACAAGGUUGCAGUAUAAAUUUUUAGUCAGUAAGUUUUAUACAAUGCUUGAUUAAGUUGGAGACAUUUUGGUGUAAAAUAGAUGCAAAAACGGAUUCAGAACUUAAGAUUUAAUUUGUAGAGGACUGAUGUUAAAAUAUGUGAAGUUGAGGGACUUUU
Molecule: long non-coding RNA, 264 nt
Filed under: Ananas comosus (pineapple)
Lineage: Eukaryota; Viridiplantae; Streptophyta; Magnoliopsida; Poales; Bromeliaceae
Description: long non-coding RNA (ACOM_LNC003346)
Source: RNAcentral